AUCGGAAACUCUGGGCGUGGCGCCCAGCAAUGGUCGCUUAAAUGGGAUCCUGACACAGGGAAGGUGGGCAGAGGAUUUUAAGGAAAGCUUAGCUGACGUGCUGGCCCUCGAUAAAGCCGCUUGUGGCCCAGACUGUCACCCGGAGCAUGCCCAGCCCUCGGUAGCCCUGGGCCCACAAGCCCUGACCAUGACCCAAGGAUUUCUGGAAUGCAUCAGUAGGUCAUCGCGUGCCCAGAACCACAGUUUUCCUGAAACCAGAAAGCUUCGUCUCUCCCGAAGACCAAAGAGAUACAGCACAAGCCGCAUCGCAUCAUCACCCCUCCCAAGCGACCACCCUGGCUGGAAGGCCAUCGCACUCUUCCCUUCCAGAAAACAGGCCACAUUAUAGUGACCCCAAAGGACCACCCAGUGUAGACCUGUCUGCGCAAAGGUGAUCCGGAAAAUCCAGGACUAGGGAAGAGGCAGAAGGGUAUGGGAAAGCCGAGACAGGAAACCAGAAGAAACGCGUCCUUGCUCUCAAGAGGUAAAAAUGCGGAAGGAAAUGGAGUGGGGGAAAUGUAUGCAAACGGCGCAGAAAGCAUGCAUCCUGGAAGCAGGAGCUGGACCUGGAUCAUGUGAAGACUUUGGACUCCAUAGGCACAGAGGAUGAAAAGUUAUGAAAUCCACACCUAUAAAAAGAAGCAUGGCAUUUGUAUGGCACACUGGUCCAGACGGAAGUGGAUGCUUCUCACCUGCACCACUCUGGGGCUCUGGGGGCCCUGGCACUGCCCAGCUGCCAUCCUGGGGUGCCCAGCCCAACACUUGGGAGGCUGUUGGUAUAAAAAGGCCAAAAUUGCAAUGGAAAGCUUCCAAUUCGAGGACCCCAAAUCGAGGACCCUGACGUACUCAUGGCUUUGGUCUCCUACUCAGUUUUCAAGGGCCACUAGGGCAGUUACAAACCUGUGAUGGUUUAAUCCCCAAACCAUGGUCCCCCAACUUUGCCCCAAGGGGUCCUGAGUACUGCAGAGCCUUCACAGGAGUUCUGUGGGGGUAUUUAAAAAUUUCUAGGAAAUACAGCAAUAUAAAACAUCUGUCAGACACCACACGGACAGGUCCUCCCACCGUUUCAACAAGAGAUGAGGCUACAUUUUUUCUCUUUUCUUUCCUCUCCUUCCCUCUCCUCUCCCCUUCUCUCCUCUCCUCUCCUCUCCUGCCAUGUAGAAGUUGCCAGGCCAGGGAAUGGAAUCAGUCCCACGGCAGUGACCCAAGCCACUGCAGUGACGGCGCUGGACCCUUAACCCACUGUACCGCAAGAGUACUCCGAUGCUACGUGACAUCAGAUGCCUGCGCUUAUGGGCAGGUGCUAUGAUAAAAAGCGCAAAAAUCAAUGUAAGACAGAAUUGAAGGUGGUGAUGCCCAGUCUGGUCCUAAGGUUUGGAAAGUUGUGCCGUGUCCAACAGGAAUACAUGACCCCCUACCAAGUAUUUGUGAUGACUUAAGAAGAAAUUAAAUUUUGCCAUUUUCUAAUUUACAGUGGCAUUUCUUCAAAUGGCUUCUAAAUUAUGAAGAGAGAACUACUUCAGUCAUUUGUACCUAGCUUCUUAGUUCGUUGGACUGUUAGGUAUUUCUGUUGGCUCAGAGACGUCAUGGGAAAAUUUUUUUUUUUCUUUUUUAGGGCCGCACCUGUGGCAUAUGGAAGCUGCCAGGCUAGGAGUUGAACCAGAACUGCAACUGCUGGCCUACACCCCAGCCACAGUAACACCAGAUGUGAGCCUCAUCUUUGACCUACAGCUUGUGGCAACAUUGGAUCCUUAACCCACUUAGCGAGGCCAGGGAUUGAACCCAUUCCUCAUGGAUACUAGUCAGGUUUCUUACCACUGAACCGCAACGCAAACUCUGCCAUGGAAAAUUAUUAGUACAGUAACAGUGCUGUAAAGGAGAAAGUUUGGCUAUCUCUGCACUAAGACAAUUCCCAGGAUCUCAAAUCCUCAGCAGUAGGAGGUGGGCUGGUAAAGUAGUGCCACCUCCAGAAGGGUCAGCCUGUCCCCACGCCCCUCUCCAAUGUGGCCAAGAAGAACAUAGCAGAGGGAGAGCCUAUCAAAGAACAGAGCUGAGCAUGGCCCCAGUGGCUGACCCAGGCCCUCACCCCACUGCCUUAUGUUCCAUCUAGACUUGACAAAGAGGGGUGCAUGUUAUCCAGAGCAUCUGGACUAGGAACUGGAUGGUCUCACUAGAAAGCACUUGAGCUUGGACCUGCUUUGGGGAAGAGGUAAGUACACGGAUGGAUAUGUGCAGGUUGGCUGUAUCAUGUUCAGGGAGAGAGAUCAGGAGAAACUAGAUGUAUGGGAAAAGAGAACGUGUGUGCACACAAGCGUGUGUGUGUGUGUGUGUGUGUGUGCGCGCGCGCACGUCUGUUCAUGUGGAACAGUCAAGGACUGGGAUGUAUUCGGCCAGUUGUCUUUCUUCCAUUGUGAAUCUGCCCUUUCCACACUGCAUGCUCUCUGGAUGCGACUCUUCCACCUCUCUGUCACCUUGACCUCUGGCCACAAGAAUGCAUAUGCCCAAAUUUGAGUUCCUUCACUAGACGUAAGAGAGAAAGUCCCUCUCUCUGGGGUUGCAAGGACCCUAUAGAGUGACUUGUCCUCGCAUAGAGAGAAUCUACAGGAGGAUGAAGCCACGCAGAGCUUAGCAGGAGUGACAAGGCGUUUUGAUUUUAUCAUUGAACCCACCCUCCUGGAUUUAUUCACGCCUGAUUCCGCCCAGGCUGGAUUUUUGUCACUGAGCUAAAAUGUCCCUUUUGUGCUUAGGGAGCUUGGAGCUAGGUUUCUGUCGCUUGUUAUUCAAAGAGCUCUGACUAACAGUGCCACUAGCAUAGCUUCUGAGGCAAGCAAGCAAAUCUGGGCUGGAAAAGCAAGGGACGGGACUUCACGCUUGUUGUUUUGCAGGCCAAGUCUUGAUGACAGUGUUGUGUUGGGCCCGUACUUUGAUGAGGAUUCCAAGUACCCUUGGUUCUGUGCAUUCUGGAACUCAUGCCUGCAACCGAUGCCUGCAACCCAGAGGCACAUUACCUUUGCGUGGCGCACACACUGUCCCUUAAGCCCAUUGUUCCCUGGAUCUCCUUGACGUGAAAAUGAAAAUCGUUUUCUACCAUUGGUCUGCCUUGUCAGAAAACAGGGCCAAGGGCUUUUAAGAAGUGGUGCUGCAGGUCCGUGACUGUAGGGUGGGCGACAUCACCCUUUGAGAGGGAUGAUUUCAUUGAUGUCCUUUCUGGAUGCACCUGCCAGCAAGCCCAGCCUCAGGAGAGAGGAAAAUCUGCACACAGCGCCCGAUGAGUCUUCGUAUACGGAAGCCUUUAUCGGCUGAUUGGCAGGGUCAAGUGGCCACUAUUCAGAGGGCGACAAGCCCUGUUAGUUGGCUCUUUGCCAGGCGCAAUUGCACAUGAGAAUGGUUCUAGUGAGCCUGUUCCAAGGAGUCCUUCUGAAUAGCCUGAGCUUCCCUCGUGGGAGCCCCUAGGACUGUCAGGCCAGGAAUGCACAACAGAAAACCCCCAGCCCGAUGGGGGCUCAGACUCAAACUCUCUUGGUGAACUCUGCCCUCAGGGGUGGAGGCACUAAGAGAGAAAGACCUCAAGGCACAAGCUUUUGGCUGAAAUGAGUGCUUAUUACUUUUGCUCUCUGCAAAAUAUUCUGGACUCUCUCCUGGAAUGUUUUGCCAUGUGUUCCAGGUGAUUUCUUCUAAUUAGAAAUCCUGGAGUUCCUGCUGGGGCACAAGAGGAUUGGUGGCAUCUUGGGAGCGCUGGGACAGUGGUUUGAUCCCUGGCCCGGCACUGUGGGUUAAGGAUCCAGCAUUGCUGCAGCUGCAGCAUAGGUCGUAACUGUGGCUCAGAUCUGAUACCUGGCCUGGGAGCUCCAUAUGCCAGGG
This 3900-nucleotide long non-coding RNA is filed under the name Sus scrofa (pig). RNAcentral's name for it is "lncRNA (ENSSSCG00055015994.1)". The record is from RNAcentral. Lineage: Eukaryota; Metazoa; Chordata; Mammalia; Artiodactyla; Suidae.